CAGCAGAUCCUCUCAAGGCCACCCAGAAUUUCUGACCUGUUGGUGCAGAGGAGCCCAUCUGCACCCCCUGGAAGUGAUGUUGCAUUGACUGCCCAUCAGAAGCAAACACAGUAACAUGAAUGGCAGCCCCCCUGUGGCCAAGCUGAACAGCUGCUGCGGUGCUGGCUGAAGCUGCUGUCCUUCACACCUCAAGACUGCCAC
Chroicocephalus ridibundus (black-headed gull) is the source of this 201-nucleotide long non-coding RNA. RefSeq lists it as uncharacterized. The transcript is spliced from 3 exons. The record is from RefSeq and is a predicted model, not a curated record. NCBI's taxonomy places the organism in Eukaryota, Metazoa, Chordata, Aves, Charadriiformes, Laridae.